This 409-nucleotide ribosomal RNA is filed under the name uncultured bacterium. Its description in RNAcentral is "bacterial SSU rRNA". It matches the Rfam family "Bacterial small subunit ribosomal RNA", at positions 30 to 437 of the family's 1533-position model. The record is from RNAcentral.
AUUGAACGCUGGCGGCAUGCUUUACACAUGCAAGUCGAACGGCAGCACGGGUGCUUGCACCUGGUGGCGAGUGGCGAACGGGUGAGUAAUGCAUCGGAACGUGCCCAUGAGUGGGGGAUAGCCCGGCGAAAGCCGGAUUAAUACCGCAUACGCCCUUAGGGGGAAAGCGGGGGAUCUUCGGACCUCGCGCUAUUGGAGCGGCCGAUGUCGGAUUAGCUAGUAGGUGAGGUAAAGGCUCACCUAGGCGACGAUCCGUAGCUGGUCUGAGAGGAUGAUCAGCCACACUGGGACUGAGACACGGCCCAGACUCCUACGGGAGGCAGCAGUGGGGAAUUUUGGACAAUGGGCGCAAGCCUGAUCCAGCCAUGCCGCGUGAGUGAAGAAGGGCCUCGGUUGUAAGACGUCUUUC